Molecule: ribosomal RNA, 497 nt
Filed under: uncultured bacterium
Lineage: Bacteria
Description: partial 16S ribosomal RNA
Rfam family: Bacterial small subunit ribosomal RNA
Source: RNAcentral
GAUGAACGCUGGCGGCGUGCCUAAUACAUGCAAGUCGAGCGAACGGACGAGAAGCUUGCUUCUCUGAUGUUAGCGGCGGACGGGUGAGUAACACGUGGAUAACCUACCUAUAAGACUGGGAUAACUUCGGGAAACCGGAGCUAAUACCGGAUGAUAUUUUGAACCGCAUGGUUCAAAAGUGAAAGACGGUCUUGCUGUCACUUAUAGAUGGAUCCGCGCUGCAUUAGCUAGUUGGUAAGGUAACGGCUUACCAAGGCAACGAUGCAUAGCCGACCUGAGAGGGUGAUCGGCCACACUGGAACUGAGACACGGUCCAGACUCCUACGGGAGGCAGCAGUAGGGAAUCUUCCGCAAUGGGCGAAAGCCUGACGGAGCAACGCCGCGUUAGUGAUGAAGGUCUUCGGAUCGUAAAACUCUGUUAUUAGGGAAGAACAUAUGUGUAAGUAACUGUGCACAUCUUGACGGUACCUAAUCAGAAAGCCACGGCUAACUACGUG